This is a long non-coding RNA of Heterocephalus glaber (naked mole-rat), 1045 nucleotides long. The record is from Ensembl. NCBI's taxonomy places the organism in Eukaryota, Metazoa, Chordata, Mammalia, Rodentia, Bathyergidae.
CAAGCAUAUUUGUACAUGUCUUGGUCUGUUUCCUGUUGCUACAGCAAAAACCUGAGUCUGGGUACACUAUAAAGAAAUGUUGAUUCAGCUCAAGGAUUUGGAAGCUGAAAGUCCAAGACAGGGUGGCUCCACCGACUCAGUCUCUGAUGAGGGCCUCCCGGGAGCGUCACAAUAUGGUGGGCGGGAUCAGGACGUGGGGCACGAGCCCAGAGCGAGAAAGGAAUCUGCAAAGUGGAGCAGAGGCAGCCUGCUCUUCUGUGACAGCGCGUUCUCACCAGGACGAGCUCACUUUCAGAUCAGCAUUGCCUGCUUCUGAGGGCAGCUCCCCAAACGACCGAAUUAUGGUGCACCUUCCUCAGAGCCUCCUUUGCUAAGAGUUCCUCCAUCUCUCAAAGCCUCCACACUGGGCACCCAACUUUCCACACGCACACCCUUGGGGAACCAACUACAUCCAAACUGUCGCAAUAUGUGUGUUCUUGUACACUACGGUUUUCGUUUCCGAAGCGGAAGAUUCUCAAAGAUUGCGUCGGUGGUGAAGGAGGCGUGGGCAUUCUGAGUGUUAACCCGAAAGGACAGAUGCUGUGUGACACCACCUGGGGACACUCACUCGCUCUGCACACCUCGACGGCCUGUUUCUUCUGACAGUGUCUCCUUAGAAGGCAUGGAGAAGAGUAGACUAGCUGCUAACUUUCCUAAAGAAAACUGACCCUCUACACACGGCACUGGUCAAUUUCACCUGGAAAAAACUGUUAGCUUUGAAGACUUUGAGGAGUGGUCCUGUUCCCAUACUCAAUGAAUUCCCGACUCCUGUCACACCAGCAAGUAGUGAAGACUUUAUGCCAGGUGUGUUUCCUUGUGCAUCACGUAACUGGUGAUUACUUACAAUGGGGGAGACACAGUGCUCCUCGACUCACUGUCUACUCCAUCAUAGCUGAGGAAGUGUCUCCAUACUGUCAUACCCCUUGAGAAGGAGUUAGGUCACACAUAUUUGCCUAGAGCACAAUAUCCGGCCACAGAAAACGUUGGAGCCUUAUUUUAAUCUGGG